GAUGAACGCUGGCGGCGUGCCUAAUACAUGCAAGUCGAGCGAACAGAUGAGGAGCUUGCUCCUCUGACGUUAGCGGCGGACGGGUGAGUAACACGUGGAUAACCUACCUAUAAGACUGGGAUAACUUCGGGAAACCGGAGCUAAUACCGGAUAAUAUAUUGAACCGCAUGGUUCAAUAGUGAAAGACGGUUUUGCUGUCACUUAUAGAUGGAUCCGCGCCGCAUUAGCUAGUUGGUAAGGUAACGGCUUACCAAGGCAACGAUGCGUAGCCGACCUGAGAGGGGGAUCGGCCACACGGGACCUGAGAAACGGUCAGGACUCUACGGGAGGCAGCAGUAGGGAAUCUUCCGCAAUGGGCGAAAGCCUGACGGAGCAACGCCGCGUGAGUGAUGAAGGUCUUCGGAUCGUAAAACUCUGUUAUUAGGGAAGAACAAAUGUGUAAGUAACUAUGCACGUCUUGACGGUACCUAAUCAGAAAGCCACGGCUAACUACGUG
Molecule: ribosomal RNA, 496 nt
Filed under: uncultured bacterium
Lineage: Bacteria
Description: partial 16S ribosomal RNA
Rfam family: Bacterial small subunit ribosomal RNA
Source: RNAcentral